Molecule: long non-coding RNA, 1379 nt
Organism: Oncorhynchus keta (chum salmon)
Lineage: Eukaryota; Metazoa; Chordata; Actinopteri; Salmoniformes; Salmonidae
Exons: 4
Source: RefSeq, a predicted model, not a curated record
ACAGCGGGUGUAAGGUAGAGGUGUAAGUCAGUGAUGACGGUGGAACACACAGUGCCUUCGGAAAGUAUUCAGACCCCUUGACUCAUCCCAUAUUUUGUUACGUUACAGGCUUAUUCUAAAAUGGAUUAACCAAAAAAUGAAAAACUCAAUCUAAGCACAAUAACCAAUAGUGACAAAGCGAAAACAGGUUUUCAUAAAUCUUGGCAAAUGUAUUACAAAUUCAAUGUUAAAUUCAAUUGAUUGGACAUGAUUCGGAAAGACAUACACAUGUCUAUAUAAGUUCCCAUAGUUGACAGUUCAUGUCAGAGCAAAAACCAAGCCGUGAGGUGGAAGGAAUUGUCUUAGAGAUUCGAGACAGGAUUGCGUCCAGGCACAGAUAUGGGGAAGGGUACAAAAACAUUUAUGCAGCAUUGAAGGUCCCCAAGAACCACAGUGUUGUCCGUCAUUGUUAAAUGGAAUAAGUUUGGAACCAGCUGGCCGCCCUGCUAAACCGAGCAGUCGGGGGAGAAGGGCCUUGGUCAGGGAGGUGACCAAGAACCCGAUGGUCUAGAGCUCUAGAGUUCCUCUGGAAAUGGGAGGACCUUCUAAAAAGGACAGCCAUGUCUGCAGCACUCAAACAAUCAAGCCUUUAUGGUAGAGUGGCCACACGGAAGCCCCUCCUCAGAAAAGGGCACCUGACAACCCGCUUGGAGUUUUCCAAAAGGAAUUCUAAAUAGUCUCAAACAAAAUUCUCUGGUCUGAUGAACAGCCAAGACAAUGCAGGAGUGGCUUCGGGACAAGUCUGUGAAUGUCCUUGAGUGGCUCAGCCAGAGCCCGGACUUGAACCUGAUAGAACAUCUCAGGAGAGACCUGUGUGCAGCAACGCUCCCCAUCCAACCUGACAGAAAUUGAGAGGAUCUGCAGAGAAGAAUGGGUGAAACUCCCCAAAUACAGGUGUUCCAAGCUUGUAGCGUCAUACCCAAUAAGACUUAAGGCUGUAAAUGCUGCCAAAGGUGCUUCAACACAGUACUGAGUAAAGGGUCUGAAUACUUAUGUAAAUGUAAUAGUUUUACAUUUUUCAUAAAUGAGAAAAAAAACAUGAUUUAAUCCAUUUCAGAAUAAGAAUUAAGAAAGAGGGGAGAGGAACACUGGAGGUCUAAAGGAGGGAGAGGUAAGAGAGAGAUGUAAUAAAGACGGAGGGAGAGGUAGAGAGAGAUGAAAUAAAGACUGAGGGAGAGGUAGAGAGAGAUGAAAUAAAGACGGAGGGAGAGGUAGAGAGAGAUGAAAUAAAUACGGAGGGAGAGGUAGAGAGAGAUGAAAUAAAUACGGAGGGAGAGGUAGAGAGAGAUGAAAUAAAGACGGAGGGAGAGGUAGAGAGAGAUGAAAUAAAUACGGAGGGA